Molecule: long non-coding RNA, 1482 nt
Filed under: Cyanistes caeruleus (blue tit)
Lineage: Eukaryota; Metazoa; Chordata; Aves; Passeriformes; Paridae
Description: lncRNA (ENSCCEG00000008600.1)
Source: RNAcentral
GCUUAACAGUAACCCAGAAAGUGUUUGUGGCCUCCAGCCCUGUUCCUUUUCUCCUCAGCUGCCAUCACUGUCCUGCUCCUCAGUGGUUCUGACUGGAUUGUGUUUAAACCAUAUCUCCACUGAGUAUCACCAGUGAGCUGAGGACCAAGGCCUGGCAAAGCAAGAAAAAUUACCAGCAUGGAUUUGCUAAGAGAUCAAGGUCUGCAAGGACUUGUCCCUGGGGUGAUUUUCUAGCUCUUCUGGACCUUCUUUCCCACCCUCCUGGAGCUACAAGUAUAAGCUUGACUGUCUCAUCUCCUUCAGUGCAACCAGAAUUCCAUGUCCAAAUCUUGACAGUCAAAUUGAAAACCUUGUGUCCUCUUCCCACUCCCAAAGUCAACAUGGCCCAUGAAACCUCACAGAAGGAGCAACUGGGAAUAAAAUUCUAUUUUGGGAGCCUCUCCCUCCAUCUGCAAUGGAUAACUUACUUUGCCAGAAUUUGAGAACAAAUACUUUUCCCUCCAAGAGCAUGGACACUCUUUGCAGGUAACAAUAUAUGGACCUGCUGGCAGGCAGCCAUAUAAAUGACUAUUGUAGCAGCAUCCCAUACAUCCCUUGUAAUAGAGGCUCUCAAAAAGGCCUUGUUUUUUACAUCAUUUCCCACCAUCUGACAUAAGAAUCAUUCCUGAUGCAAUUUUAACUAAACUAAUCUGUGUUUGGAGGCAAUUUUCUCCCUCAAAUAUUUCUGGGUGUUCCAUAACCAACACAAGCUGAUCAUUUGUCAUUCUCCACCAGAGAAGGUCACUGAUGACCAUUUUAGCACCUCUCAGUACUUAUCUCUCAUGAGGAAAUGAUGGUCCUCAUUGAAGGACUCAUUACUCAUUCAGUAAAAAAGUUUGCAUUAAGUUUCCAAGACAAAUUGUUCCAGAAUAUUGGUUUGCUAUUAGAUCACAGGAAAGAAAUGAUACCUAGUUGGACUUAGGAGCAUGCUGAGGUGCUGAGGAGCAGAACAAGGCUGAGAGAAACCAGGUUCUCCUGGAUCCAGAGCAGACAGAGCCAUCGAGUUCAUCUGCUAGGGUCUUUGUCACACCACUAGGAAUCAGGCCUUGGAAUAUGUUCUGUUUUUUCUAAACACUACAGGUAACAAGAAUAGACUAAUUCAGGAAUUCAGAAUUACCUGGUUUAUAGCAAGGAAACAGGGCAUGGCUGGAUUGGGUCCAUGUUUCUACCCCCAGCCAAAGCAUACCACACUCUUAGAGGAGAAUUUCUUGCUUCACAUCACUUGGUUGUCAAAAAGCACUAGAAAGGUUCCCAAGAGUGUUUGCUGUGGCCUCUACCUCUUGGGCCAUUACGUGGCAUGAACUCCUAGGAAUGUGAUUUCACAUUGCUACCCAGACCUUUAGAGCUACUUUGAGACCUACCUAGUCCUCAAGAGACAGAAUCCAGGUGGAGGGUUUGGAAGUAUCUGCAGCAAAACUGACACAGAAGGCACAGCUGCUGCGU